GAUGAACGCUGGCGGCGUGCCUAAUACAUGCAAGUCGAGCGAACGGACGAGAAGCUUGCUUCUCUGAUGUUAGCGGCGGACGGGUGAGUAACACGUGGAUAACCUACCUAUAAGACUGGGAUAACUUCGGGAAACCAGAGCUAAUACCGGAUAAUAUUUUGAACCGCAUGGUUCAAAAGUGAAAGACGGUCUUGCUGUCACUUAUAGAUGGAUCCGCGCUGCAUUAGCUAGUUGGUAAGGUAACGGCUUACCAAGGCAACGAUGCAUAGCCGACCUGAGAGGGUGAUCGGCCACACUGGAACUGAGACACGGUCCAGACUCCUACGGGAGGCAGCAGUAGGGAAUCUUCCGCAAUGGGCGAAAGCCUGACGGAGCAACGCCGCGGGAGUGAUGAAGGUCUUCGGAUCGUAAAACUCUGUUAUUAGGGAAGAACAUAUGUGUAAGUAACUGUGCACAUCUUGACGGUACCUAAUCAGAAAGCCACGGCUAACUACGUG
RNAcentral lists this ribosomal RNA (497 nucleotides) under uncultured bacterium. RNAcentral's name for it is "partial 16S ribosomal RNA". It matches the Rfam family "Bacterial small subunit ribosomal RNA", at positions 28 to 507 of the family's 1533-position model. The record is from RNAcentral.